This 2902-nucleotide ribosomal RNA is filed under the name Escherichia coli. RNAcentral's name for it is "23S ribosomal RNA". It matches the Rfam family "Bacterial large subunit ribosomal RNA". The record is from RNAcentral. Lineage: Bacteria; Pseudomonadati; Pseudomonadota; Gammaproteobacteria; Enterobacterales; Enterobacteriaceae.
GGUUAAGCGACUAAGCGUACACGGUGGAUGCCCUGGCAGUCAGAGGCGAUGAAGGACGUGCUAAUCUGCGAUAAGCGUCGGUAAGGUGAUAUGAACCGUUAUAACCGGCGAUUUCCGAAUGGGGAAACCCAGUGUGUUUCGACACACUAUCAUUAACUGAAUCCAUAGGUUAAUGAGGCGAACCGGGGGAACUGAAACAUCUAAGUACCCCGAGGAAAAGAAAUCAACCGAGAUUCCCCCAGUAGCGGCGAGCGAACGGGGAGCAGCCCAGAGCCUGAAUCAGUGUGUGUGUUAGUGGAAGCGUCUGGAAAGGCGCGCGAUACAGGGUGACAGCCCCGUACACAAAAAUGCACAUGCUGUGAGCUCGAUGAGUAGGGCGGGACACGUGGUAUCCUGUCUGAAUAUGGGGGGACCAUCCUCCAAGGCUAAAUACUCCUGACUGACCGAUAGUGAACCAGUACCGUGAGGGAAAGGCGAAAAGAACCCCGGCGAGGGGAGUGAAAAAGAACCUGAAACCGUGUACGUACAAGCAGUGGGAGCACGCUUAGGCGUGUGACUGCGUACCUUUUGUAUAAUGGGUCAGCGACUUAUAUUCUGUAGCAAGGUUAACCGAAUAGGGGAGCCGAAGGGAAACCGAGUCUUAACUGGGCGUUAAGUUGCAGGGUAUAGACCCGAAACCCGGUGAUCUAGCCAUGGGCAGGUUGAAGGUUGGGUAACACUAACUGGAGGACCGAACCGACUAAUGUUGAAAAAUUAGCGGAUGACUUGUGGCUGGGGGUGAAAGGCCAAUCAAACCGGGAGAUAGCUGGUUCUCCCCGAAAGCUAUUUAGGUAGCGCCUCGUGAAUUCAUCUCCGGGGGUAGAGCACUGUUUCGGCAAGGGGGUCAUCCCGACUUACCAACCCGAUGCAAACUGCGAAUACCGGAGAAUGUUAUCACGGGAGACACACGGCGGGUGCUAACGUCCGUCGUGAAGAGGGAAACAACCCAGACCGCCAGCUAAGGUCCCAAAGUCAUGGUUAAGUGGGAAACGAUGUGGGAAGGCCCAGACAGCCAGGAUGUUGGCUUAGAAGCAGCCAUCAUUUAAAGAAAGCGUAAUAGCUCACUGGUCGAGUCGGCCUGCGCGGAAGAUGUAACGGGGCUAAACCAUGCACCGAAGCUGCGGCAGCGACGCUUAUGCGUUGUUGGGUAGGGGAGCGUUCUGUAAGCCUGCGAAGGUGUGCUGUGAGGCAUGCUGGAGGUAUCAGAAGUGCGAAUGCUGACAUAAGUAACGAUAAAGCGGGUGAAAAGCCCGCUCGCCGGAAGACCAAGGGUUCCUGUCCAACGUUAAUCGGGGCAGGGUGAGUCGACCCCUAAGGCGAGGCCGAAAGGCGUAGUCGAUGGGAAACAGGUUAAUAUUCCUGUACUUGGUGUUACUGCGAAGGGGGACGGAGAAGGCUAUGUUGGCCGGGCGACGGUUGUCCCGGUUUAAGCGUGUAGGCUGGUUUUCCAGGCAAAUCCGGAAAAUCAAGGCUGAGGCGUGAUGACGAGGCACUACGGUGCUGAAGCAACAAAUGCCCUGCUUCCAGGAAAAGCCUCUAAGCAUCAGGUAACAUCAAAUCGUACCCCAAACCGACACAGGUGGUCAGGUAGAGAAUACCAAGGCGCUUGAGAGAACUCGGGUGAAGGAACUAGGCAAAAUGGUGCCGUAACUUCGGGAGAAGGCACGCUGAUAUGUAGGUGAGGUCCCUCGCGGAUGGAGCUGAAAUCAGUCGAAGAUACCAGCUGGCUGCAACUGUUUAUUAAAAACACAGCACUGUGCAAACACGAAAGUGGACGUAUACGGUGUGACGCCUGCCCGGUGCCGGAAGGUUAAUUGAUGGGGUUAGCGCAAGCGAAGCUCUUGAUCGAAGCCCCGGUAAACGGCGGCCGUAACUAUAACGGUCCUAAGGUAGCGAAAUUCCUUGUCGGGUAAGUUCCGACCUGCACGAAUGGCGUAAUGAUGGCCAGGCUGUCUCCACCCGAGACUCAGUGAAAUUGAACUCGCUGUGAAGAUGCAGUGUACCCGCGGCAAGACGGAAAGACCCCGUGAACCUUUACUAUAGCUUGACACUGAACAUUGAGCCUUGAUGUGUAGGAUAGGUGGGAGGCUUAGAAGUGUGGACGCCAGUCUGCAUGGAGCCGACCUUGAAAUACCACCCUUUAAUGUUUGAUGUUCUAACGUUGACCCGUAAUCCGGGUUGCGGACAGUGUCUGGUGGGUAGUUUGACUGGGGCGGUCUCCUCCUAAAGAGUAACGGAGGAGCACGAAGGUUGGCUAAUCCUGGUCGGACAUCAGGAGGUUAGUGCAAUGGCAUAAGCCAGCUUGACUGCGAGCGUGACGGCGCGAGCAGGUGCGAAAGCAGGUCAUAGUGAUCCGGUGGUUCUGAAUGGAAGGGCCAUCGCUCAACGGAUAAAAGGUACUCCGGGGAUAACAGGCUGAUACCGCCCAAGAGUUCAUAUCGACGGCGGUGUUUGGCACCUCGAUGUCGGCUCAUCACAUCCUGGGGCUGAAGUAGGUCCCAAGGGUAUGGCUGUUCGCCAUUUAAAGUGGUACGCGAGCUGGGUUUAGAACGUCGUGAGACAGUUCGGUCCCUAUCUGCCGUGGGCGCUGGAGAACUGAGGGGGCUGCUCCUAGUACGAGAGGACCGGAGUGGACGCAUCACUGGUGUUCGGGUUGUCAUGCCAAUGGCACUGCCCGGUAGCUAAAUGCGGAAGAGAUAAGUGCUGAAAGCAUCUAAGCACGAAACUUGCCCCGAGAUGAGUUCUCCCUGACUCCUUGAGAGUCCUGAAGGAACGUUGAAGACGACGACGUUGAUAGGCCGGGUGUGUAAGCGCAGCGAUGCGUUGAGCUAACCGGUACUAAUGAACCGUGAGGCUUAACCUU